UACAGAGGGUGCGAGCGUUGUCCGGAAUCACUGGGCGUAAAGGGCGCGUAGGUGGCGGCAUAAGGCUGUGGUGAAAGUCUGGGGCUCAACUCCAGAUCGGCCGCGGCGACUGUGUCGCUUGGGCACCGUAGAGGCAGAUGGAAUUCCGGGUGUAGCGGUGGAAUGCGUAGAGAUCCGGAAGAACACCAGUGGCGAAGGCGGUCUGCUGGGCGGUGGGGUCGAGAGACUCCAAUAGCCGACACUGAGGCGCGACAGCGUGGGGAGCAAACAGG
Molecule: ribosomal RNA, 272 nt
Filed under: uncultured bacterium
Lineage: Bacteria
Description: partial 16S ribosomal RNA
Rfam family: Bacterial small subunit ribosomal RNA
Source: RNAcentral